Molecule: ribosomal RNA, 253 nt
Filed under: uncultured bacterium
Lineage: Bacteria
Description: partial 16S ribosomal RNA
Rfam family: Bacterial small subunit ribosomal RNA
Source: RNAcentral
UACGUAGGGACCAAGCGUUGUCCGGAAUCAUUGGGCGUAAAGAGCGUGUAGGCGGCUUGUUAAGUCUUGCGUGAAAUCUCGGGGCUCAACCCCGAGCGGUCGUGAGAAACUGGCAGGCUAGAGUGCGGGAGAGGAGAGUGGAAUUCCCGGUGUAGCGGUGAAAUGCGCAGAUAUCAGGAGGAACACCGGUGGCGAAGGCGGUUCUCUGGGCAUUACCUGACGCUGAGGAGCGAAAGUGUGGGGAGCGAACAGG